AAUGAACGUUGGCGGCGUGCCUAACACAUGCAAGUCGAGCGAGAAAGCCUUUCGGGGUGAGUAAAGCGGCGAACGGGCGAGUAGUAUAUAAGAAUCUACCUUUUAGGGAAGAAUACCUUUGAGAAAUCAAGGCUAAUACUGCAUAAGCUCCUUCGGGACGAAAGAUGGCCUCUUUGCUGUCGCUAAAAGAUGAGCUUAUAUUCUAUUAGUUAGUUGGUGGGGUAAUGGCCUACCAAGACUGUGAUGGAUAACCGGCCUGAGAGGGUGUACGGUCACAUUGGAACUGAGACACGGCCCAGACUCCUACGGGAGGCAGCAGUGGGGAAUUUUGGACAAUGGGCGCAAGCCUGAUCCAGCAAUGCCGCGCGCAGGAAGAAGGCCUUCGGGUUGUAAACUGCUUUUGUCAGGGAAGAAAUCUUCUGGGCUAAUACCCCGGGAGGAUGACGGUACCUGAAGAAUAAGCACAGGCUAACUUCGUGCCAGCAGCCGCCGUAA
This 495-nucleotide ribosomal RNA is filed under the name uncultured bacterium. RNAcentral describes it as "partial 16S ribosomal RNA". It matches the Rfam family "Bacterial small subunit ribosomal RNA", at positions 29 to 523 of the family's 1533-position model. The record is from RNAcentral.